This 453-nucleotide ribosomal RNA is filed under the name uncultured bacterium. RNAcentral describes it as "bacterial SSU rRNA". It matches the Rfam family "Bacterial small subunit ribosomal RNA", at positions 340 to 786 of the family's 1533-position model. The record is from RNAcentral.
UACGGAAGGCAGCAGUGGGGAAUAUUGCACAAUGGGCGCAAGCCUGAUGCAGCCAUGCCGCGUGUAUGAAGAAGGCCUUCGGGUUGUAAAGUACUUUCAGUCGUGAGGAAGGUGUUAAGGUUAAUAACCUUAGCAAUUGACGUUAGCGACAGAAGAAGCACCGGCUAACUCCGUGCCAGCAGCCGCGGUAAUACGGAGGGUGCGAGCGUUAAUCGGAAUUACUGGGCGUAAAGGGCACGCAGGCGGUUAAUUAAGUUGGAUGUGAAAUCCCCGGGCUUAACCUGGGAAUGGCAUUCAAGACUGGUUAGCUAGAGUCUUGUAGAGGGGGUAGAAUUCCAUGUGUAGCAGUGAAAUGCGUAGAGAUGUGGAGGAAUACCGGUGGCGAAGGCGGCCCCUGGGACAAAGACUGACGCUCAUGUGCGAAAGCGUGGGGAGCAAACAGGAUUAGAUACC